RNAcentral lists this transfer RNA (38 nucleotides) under Citrus sinensis (sweet orange). RNAcentral describes it as "tRNA-Ala". RNAcentral also lists the same sequence under 122 other names. Lineage: Eukaryota; Viridiplantae; Streptophyta; Magnoliopsida; Sapindales; Rutaceae. The record is from RNAcentral.
GGGGAUAUAGCUCAGUUGGUAGAGCUCCGCUCUUGCAA